This 370-nucleotide ribosomal RNA is filed under the name uncultured organism. Its description in RNAcentral is "bacterial SSU rRNA". It matches the Rfam family "Bacterial small subunit ribosomal RNA", at positions 526 to 896 of the family's 1533-position model. The record is from RNAcentral.
CAGAGGGUGCGAGCGUUAAUCGGAUUUACUGGGCGUAAAGGGCGCGUAGGCGGUGAUAUGUGAAUGGUGUGAAAGCCCCGGGCUUAACCUGGGAAGUGCAUCGUUGACUAUAUGACUGGAGUAGAUGAGAGGGUGGUGGAAUUUCCGGUGUAGCGGUGAAAUGCGUAGAGAUCGGAAGGAACGUCGAUGGCGAAGGCAGCCACCUGGCAUCAUACUGACGCUGAGGCGCGAAAGCGUGGGGAGCGAACAGGAUUAGAUACCCUGGUAGUCCACGCUGUAAACGAUGAGGACUAAAGGUUGGUAGGGGAACCUAUCAGUCUUGAAGCAAACGCGAUAAGUCUUCCGCCUGGGAAGUACGGCCGCAAGGUUG